RNAcentral lists this transfer RNA (87 nucleotides) under Bacteroidota bacterium. Its description in RNAcentral is "tRNA-Ser". It matches the Rfam family "tRNA". Rfam says of the family: Transfer RNA (tRNA) molecules are approximately 80 nucleotides in length. Their secondary structure includes four short double-helical elements and three loops (D, anti-codon, and T loops). Further hydrogen bonds mediate the characteristic L-shaped molecular structure. tRNAs have two regions of fundamental functional importance: the anti-codon, which is responsible for specific mRNA codon recognition, and the 3' end, to which the tRNAs corresponding amino acid is attached (by aminoacyl-tRNA synthetases). tRNAs cope with the degeneracy of the genetic code in two manners: having more than one tRNA (with a specific anti-codon) for a particular amino acid; and 'wobble' base-pairing, i.e. permitting non-standard base-pairing at the 3rd anti-codon position. The record is from RNAcentral. Lineage: Bacteria; Pseudomonadati; Bacteroidota. RNAcentral also lists the same sequence under 1 other name.
GGAGAGAUGCCAGAGCGGUCGAAUGGGGCGGUCUCGAAAACCGUUGUCCGAGCAAUUGGACCCAGGGUUCGAAUCCCUGUCUCUCCG